Molecule: ribosomal RNA, 547 nt
Filed under: uncultured bacterium
Lineage: Bacteria
Description: bacterial SSU rRNA
Rfam family: Bacterial small subunit ribosomal RNA
Source: RNAcentral
UAGGGAAUNUCCGCAAUGGGCGAAAGCCUGACGGAGCAACGCCGCGUGAGUGAAGAAGGAUUUCGGUUCGUAAAGCUCUGUUGUUAGGGAAGAAUGAUUGUGUAGUAAUUAUACAUAGUAGAGACGGUACCUAACCAGAAAGCCACGGCUAACUACGUGCCAGCAGCCGCGGUAAUACGUAGGUGGCAAGCGUUGUCCGGAAUUAUUGGGCGUAAAGCGCGCGCAGGUGGUUUAANAAGUCUGAUGUGAAAGCCCACGGCUCAACCGUGGAGGGUCAUUGGAAACUGUUAAACUUGAGUGCAGGAGAGAAAAGUGGAAUUCCUAGUGUAGCGGUGAAAUGCGUAGAGAUUAGGAGGAACACCAGUGGCGAAGGCGGCUUUUUGGCCUGUAACUGACACUGAGGCGCGAAAGCGUGGGGAGCAAACAGGAUUAGAUACCCUGGUAGUCCACGCCGUAAACGAUGAGUGCUAAGUGUUGGUCUCAUAAGAGAUCAGUGCUGCAGCUAACGCAUUAAGCACUCCGCCUGGGGAGUACGACCGCAAGGUUG